GUUAUUUAUAUGAAGGAAACAAAAUCACUAACUCAAAGAGAUACCUGCACCCCAUGUUCAUUACAGCAUUAUUUACAAUAGCCAAGCCAUGAAAACAACAAGCUGUUUUUGUAGCUGUGGUCAUUAUGGUGUGUGAUGGGCUGAACUGUGUUCCCCUAAAACUCGUGUGUGGGGUCCUAACCCCCCAGUGCCUCAAAAUGUGGCCGUGUUUGGAGACAAAGUCAUUAGAGAACUUGUUAAGUUAAAGUGAGGUCAUCAGGGUGGCCCUAAUCCAACCUGACUCGUGUCCUUAUAGAACAGGAGAUGAGGACACAGCCAGGUAGAGGGAGGACCACAUGAGGACACGGGGAGGAGACGGCCGUCUGCAUGCCAAGAGGCCUCUGAAGGCACCAGCCUGCCAACACCUUGCUCUUGGACUUCCAGCCUCUGGACUGUGAGAGAGUAACUUCCUGUUGUUUAAGCCCCCCAGUCUGUGGGGUGUGUUACGGCAGCCUGAGCAGAUUAACGCAUGGUGUGAUGUUUCUGGGCUACGUUUAUAAAUGCUAUCUCAACACAGAUUCAAAGGGCCUGCUCUUCUGAGUCACAAGUACUUGAUCAUUUGCCCGAGGUCUUCUGCUCGGCUAAUUCAUCACCAAAACAAUGGCCCAUGGGGAAGCAGGACUCCGGAGUCAGGCUGAGGUGUCCUGUGUUUUCAUAUCGACAUUCAUGCUUUAGGGAGUAAUACUCAAAUAUAACAACCAAUAUGUACUUUAAUGCUCAGAUGGAAUUAAAUGUCUUUUUUGGGGAGAAAAAUUCUGGCUUCACAGCAGGCACCUGGCCAAUAUGAAUUAUACAAAGUCUAGGGUGGCCCUCAGUCUAUAGACACCACCAUUUUUACAGCAGAAUUUGAUUUCUAUAAGAAACAAGUGAUGAGGAGACUUUUUAAAAAAUCUUUUGCAAAACCACAGUAAAGAAAAAAGAAUUAAAAUAUAUGUGAAGUUUCCAAAGCCCUUCCUGUAAGGAUUCAUAGGAUAUAUGCUUUCUAAUAUUACAAAAAAUAUUGUCUUUCCGACAAAUGUGUACGCUUCCUUUCAGUAAAAAUUAAAAUUGGCACAAUUCAACACAUUUCCCUUUUGGCCUUGGCUGCCAAGAGGCUCAGGAUCAAGACUGGUGACCCACCCUCAUCCUGCAGCUCAGCCCUGCUGGGUCCUCCCUGAGCUGCCCUUUAGAGAUGGCAGUGCCCUGUGGAUGUGCUCCCCUACCGUGAGCCCCUGCAGGUCCCCGCAAAGCACGGAUCUAAACUGGUGGAUGCUGGAGAGAAAGGUGAGCCCAACCCUCCCUCCAUCUAAAUUCUUGCAGCUUCCUGAAAACUCUCCUUGCAUGCAGAGGUAGCGUGUACUUUGAAGGAGACGCGUUUGUCCUUUUCACUGAAUUGUCCAGUAUUUUUCUGUGCCUUUGUCUCACAGGUGGUUUUCACUCUUUACGACACUGUCCUUUGUUUCAGCUGAGGACUGGACAGCAGCUCAGGCCCUGAGACCGUGGGUCUCACCCCCACCUCCCGGCCACUGGGACCAUGAAAUCAAGACAAUCACCUUCUGGGGGUCUAAUAACCACGUAACUUUUCGGUCUCUGUCCCCAGGAAUGUGUCACUGAGAAAGUGGCCACACGACGCCUGGCAAAUAGGACAGUGAAGCUGAGAACGAGGCCUGAGGCCUGGGCAGCCGCAUCCAGCUCGCAACAAGGUUGCAGCCCCAGGUCCUGGUUGCCAUUCAGGCACCACUCGAUGUGGAACGGCAAACGAAUCCGUAUUAUGGGCCUGUGUGUGGCCCUUUACAAGCACGAGUGCCUCCAGGCUGAGGGGAAUUAAAAUAGGAAGGGUCCCCUAGGUGUUGGAAAGAACCCCGGGACUGGAGUUUAGGAAGUCUGAGAGGGUAUCAGGCUGGCUGGAGACAUAUUCACUGUUAAAAUUAAGACGCCAGAGGGUCCCUAGAACACUGGGCUAAGGAGCCACCAAUGGGGUCGUUUCGAUGCCUAUGAAACCCUCAGAAGCAUCUGCGGAAGCUGCUGUCUGCCCAUGGUUCCUGCAGCUAAGGCGCUGUGGGCGUGUGGCCCUCUCAUCCAUAGAAAUAAGUCCUCCCUGCGGGGAAUGCUACAGCCGAGCAUUUGUGUAGCUCUUUCUCCAAUGUAUUACCUUGAGACGUUUACAAUUGUCCGGAUUCAACCGUGUUUGACCAACCACAGUGGCAAUUUCAUACGGUUUGACAUUUAUUGAGCACCUACUAUGUAUCCAGCACAGUGAUGGAAACAAGGAUGGAUUAAGGUCCACAGCGAUGCCAGACACACACAUGGGAUGUCCAAGCCAGCGUGGCCAGUGUCGUAGCAGCAGUGGGGACACGGGGCUGUGAGGACACCCACGGCGCUAUGGGCACCCCCUCCCACUACAUGCAUCACGCUGCCAGCCAGGCUAUCUGUGACACACUUAGAGCUGCCGUCGGCUGAGUGCUGUGGCAGCGGGCAUGUCAUUCCACACAGCCCUUCUAACAAUACCAGGUAAUAGGUUCUACUCUACUAUGAUCCCAUUUUACAGAGGACGAAACUGAGGCCUAGAAAGGUCAAGUCGAGAGUAAAUGGCAAAGCCAUCCAAUAACUAAUGACAAAGUUCCCAUGCUGUACGCCUAAACUGUCCCACCACCGGCAAUAGACUGGGUAAUGACCUCCAAAGAUAGCAGCUCCUAAUCCCUGGAACCUGGAAAUGUGACCUUGUUUGGAAAAAGGGUCUUUGCAAGUGCGAUGAAGUUAAGGCUCUCAAGAAGAGAUUGUCCUGGAUUAUCCAGGUGGGCCCUAAACGCGAUCACAAGAGAGAGUCGGGAGAGAGGACACACGUGUACACACAGAAGGGAAGGCCACAUGAAAAGGGAACAGAGAGAGGAUUGAAGAUGUUGGCCUUGAAGAUGGGAGCGAAGUGGCCACGAGCCAGGGGAUUCGUGCAGCCCUCAGAAGAAGGGUGAGGCAAAGAAGGGGUCUGCCCUAGAGCCUCCGCAGGGAACCUGGCCCUGCCGACACCUGGACUUGAUAACGAUGGUGGGCUUCUGCCCUCCAGAGCUGUGAGAGAAUAAACUUCUGUUGUUUUAAACCCC
Non-coding RNA from Delphinapterus leucas (beluga whale), 3116 nucleotides. The record is from RefSeq and is a predicted model, not a curated record. NCBI's taxonomy places the organism in Eukaryota, Metazoa, Chordata, Mammalia, Artiodactyla, Monodontidae.